AUUGAACGCUGGCGGCAGGCCUAACACAUGCAAGUCGAACGAGUGGCGGACGGGUGAGUAAUGUCUGGGAAACUGCCCGCUGGAGGGGGAUAACUCCUGGAAACGGUAGCUAAUACCGCAUACCAUCUGAUGUGCCCACAUGGGAUUAGCUAGUAGGUAGGGUAACGGCUCACCUAGGCGACGAUCCCUAGCUGGUCUGAGAGGAUGACCAGCAACACUGGAACUGAGACACGGUCCAGACUACUACGGGAGGCAGCAGUGGGGAAUAUUGCACAAUGGGCACAAGCCUGAUACAGCCAUGCCGCGUGUAUGAAGAAGGCCUUCGGGUUGUAAAGUACUUUCAGCGAGGAGGCGUUACUCGCAGAAGAAGCACCGGCUAACUCCGUGCCAGCCGCCGCGGUAAUUC
This 406-nucleotide ribosomal RNA is filed under the name uncultured bacterium. RNAcentral's name for it is "partial 16S ribosomal RNA". It matches the Rfam family "Bacterial small subunit ribosomal RNA", at positions 30 to 526 of the family's 1533-position model. The record is from RNAcentral.